This 402-nucleotide ribosomal RNA is filed under the name uncultured soil bacterium. RNAcentral's name for it is "bacterial SSU rRNA". It matches the Rfam family "Bacterial small subunit ribosomal RNA", at positions 26 to 416 of the family's 1533-position model. The record is from RNAcentral.
AGGAUGAACGCUGGCGGCGUGCUUAACACAUGCAAGUCGAACGAUGAAGGCUGGAGCUUGCUCUGGCUGGAUUAGUGGCGAACGGGUGAGUAACACGUGAGUAACCUGCCCCAGACUCUGGGAUAAGCGCUGGAAACGGCGUCUAAUACCGGAUACGAGCUUCCACCGCAUGGUGAGGAGCUGGAAAGAAUUUCGGUCUGGGAUGGACUCGCAGCCUAUCAGCUUGUUGGUGAGGUAAUGGCUCACCAAGGCGACGACGGGUAGCCGGCCUGAGAGGGUGACCGGCCACGACUGGGACCUGGAGACACGGCCCAGACUCCUACGGGAGGCGAGCGAGUGGGGAAUAUUGACACAAUGGGACGCAAGCAGUGAUGACAACAACGCCGCGUGAGGACGAAGGCC